RNAcentral lists this long non-coding RNA (2914 nucleotides) under Bemisia tabaci. RNAcentral's name for it is "lncRNA ENSSWEETPG008088". Lineage: Eukaryota; Metazoa; Arthropoda; Insecta; Hemiptera; Aleyrodidae. The record is from RNAcentral.
AAGUGAUACCGAGAGCAUGAACCAUCGUCCUGGCGAAGAUAAAGGCAAGAAGGACACAAAAACCGAAAAUUUCCGUCAAGGCGAUUUUCAAGAAGAAGUGGACCAAAAGCCGCCCGAGGCCAGCAAGCCGAGCAGCAACGGCAACAGCAAAAGUGAUGGUGACAAAGAGGCACAAAAACCCGAGACAACGACGGUAACAGUCGUCUCAGAGGAGGCACCCAAGGAACAAAAGAAAGGAAAUGAUAACAUUGUCUACGCAGAGUUGACCCUACCCGCCACCUCUUCACCAGUUGCACGACCUCGUGUUGUGGAGGAUAAAACAGAAUACGCUGAAAUCAUCCAUUCAUGAGACUUCAACAAGGACUUUUAAAAUAUUCUGCAAGUCGACUGAUAAUAGUUUUUAAGUUUGUGAAAAAUGCAUGCAUGAUUGAAGUGUAUUUUAAGGAAAUCUUGUCCCUGAGUGUAAAUAUUCCCCACCUUUUAGUUUCACCGAAUUUUAAAUACUGAACAAAUUUACCGUUAGAAAUUUGUACAUGUUAAGAUCCAAACGGAGAUUUUUUUAUAAACUUUGAUUUUAAAUAUUUUAAUAUUCUUUGUCUCAGUUUUUCUUUCAGCCAUGUAGGGUACAAAACCUCUGUUGCUAAACCAUGGAAUGUUAUCUGGGGGCGUCAAUUUUACACUAGGUAUUAUGCCUACGUUGAAUUAAAAUUUCAUAAUUCGAAUUCUACUAGAGUCUCUUGCCAGGUUUUCAACACAUAGAUUUUUGGAGGAUAAUUAAAGUAAGUGUAAUAUUUUAAUACAGGAUGGUAGAAUAGUGCUAGGUCUACACAAUUUUGUGGGGAAAAAUGAAGGCCAAAACUUUUCAUUAGAUUCAAAAUGAAUCAAACUUUGAAUUUACUGAAAAAAAGAAAGAAAAUAUUUGUGAAUUUUUUGGCCUUGAUUUCUCUGCAAAUUAGUGUGGAUACAGCACCGUUUUACCAUCCUGUUACUUAGAGUUGGGGCAAAUUUUUUAGUGUUUUUCUCUCGUCUAAUUCUAAUAUUAAUACCUACUCUAUCUCAAGCAAAAUAGUGCCGAGGCAGGCUCAGAGUCACGUACCUUACAAGAUGCAGAAUUCAAUUUCGGCAAAGAAAACCUUGAGAAAUACAGAGAAUCCCUAAAGAAAAAACUGUAUAAAUAAGAGAAAUGGACAACUUACAGUCAUACUUGUCCAUUAUGUUUAGUUUUGAAUCCUUAAUUGGUUUCAACAGCAAUUCGUCUUUCUUUUUCUUGUGUACUUAAGGGCACAAUUGCAGGAGGGUAAUUCAGAAUUUUGAAAUAUUAAAGCCCCAACAGGUUUACUUCUUUUCGGAAAAAAAAAAUACAGUUGCAUCUCGUUAUAUUUUUCUCAAAACAAAUUCAUUUUUUCAGUUCCUGCCGGCAAUUCUUGUUAAAGUGUUGCUCGAAAAAACCGUUUUUUCCUGCAACAACGUUCUACUUUCAUCCCCAUUAAUUCUACUUCUACUUUUCCUCAUUCUACUUUUAGUUUCCAUUCGUACAAACAAGAUACGACUGUAUAUUUCAAUACAAACCUCGAGAGAAAUAUGUUAGAAGGAUUGAGCCGGCCGGCAAAAAAUUUCAGUAGACAUCAUCCAUUGUCUAUCCCUCUGGAAAUCCUUGCCAAUCGGAGGCCUCCGAUUCAUCUUCAUCCUGUUCAACUCCGAUGAUUUGAAUGUUUGUCCUUCAGGAGAGGGAGUGCCCUUUCCUUACCUAAAAAUUUGAAUAAAAAAAUGAUGCAAUACGCGAAGAAAAGGGCAUCAAAUUGUUUAAAAUGUCAGCUUUUGAUAUUGUAGUCCCACUGUCGAUUACCAGCUUCCUGAUAUUUCUUUUCCUACAUUAAUCGCACUCUGCCUCAGUUUUGUCUUUCAACACACAUUUUCGAUACUCGAUAUGUAAGAGUGGUAUUACCUGGAUAUUAUUUUUUGCCCCGUUUUCUGAUUAGGCUAUGUACAACAUUCGGAAUUUUCUUCCUUCUUCAGGCCAAAAUUUUGAUAGUUGUCUAGCAUUCUUUCCUGUGUGCGUUCGAUUGUAUGGGAGACACAUUAAAAUAUUAGAAAAUCGGAAACGCAUAAGAAAAUAAAAAAUAAAAAUAGAAACACGAACUGACUGAGAAAAAAAUUGACGCAGUCACCCCACACUGGAUCGCGACCGAUUUAUUACUGUUUUUUCCGGUUUCUCUCGGCUCUUGUCCACGAGGCUAAGGAAUGUGGCAUCAUCAGCAGUGUUAUUUAUUGACUCAAUCUGGGUAUUGAGGAUGUUUGCCAGAUGUUUUCGCACGUUCUAUUUCCAUUGUUCUAGUAAGUUCAUUUUUUUUCAACAACAACUAGACAACUAUCAAAAUUUUGGCCUGAAGAAAGAAAGAAAAAAAUUCCGAAAUGAACAUAGCCUAACUCAGAAAUCGAGAAAAACCGAAAACGAACGAAAAAAAAAAAAUAUAUCCAGGUAAUAAUAAUCCAUCCAGUAAAAUGAUAAUCGAUACAAUCUAUUGUAAGAGCGUGGGUUGAUUAAAAAUUAAAUGGGUGUGAAGUAAUAUUUUUAUUAAUAGCUAUAAAUGGAUAUAAGAAUCAAGCAGCAAUGUCUAGAAUCCGCCAUCUUUGACACUCCUUAAUUUUCUAAAGUUCCAUUUUUAAACCGGAGGGUAAUCAGCACUCUAUCGUGAAAUUGUGCAAGCGUAUUUUUUGUAAUCUAGGAGAAGAAAAUCAUAGAAAGUCUUGCGGGAUUAAUGUCCUUAAAUCUCAUUGAAAAAAUAAAACAUGAGUGGAGUUCGAAUUUUGUGAUAAAAAAAAGGGACUUUUUUGGAAGUAGGGGGGGGGCCGCAUUUUCCGGUUUAAAAAGAUCAAUGUGAGGGGGCAGCUAUGUGGGGCUGGGGGAACUAUA